GGGACCGACCCUUCGGGGAGCCUAUACAGGUGUUGCAUGGCUGUCGUCAGCUCGUGUCGUGAGAUGUUCGGUUAAGUCCGCUAACGAGCGCAACCCUCGUCGUAUGUUAUAUGUGUCAUACGAGACUGCCGGUAAAAGCCGGAGGAAGGUGAGGAUGAUGUCAAGUCAGCAUGACCUUUAUAUCCAGGGCUACACACACGCUACAAUGGUCUGUACAAUGGGUAGCCAAGCCGCGAGGCGGAGCCAAUCCUGAAAGCAGGCCUCAGUUCAGAUUGCAGUCUGCAACUCGACUGCAUGAAGCCGGAGUUGCUAGUAACCGCAGGUCAGCAAUACUGCGGUGAAUACGUUCCCGGGUCUU
RNAcentral lists this ribosomal RNA (358 nucleotides) under uncultured Anaerolineaceae bacterium. RNAcentral describes it as "bacterial SSU rRNA". It matches the Rfam family "Bacterial small subunit ribosomal RNA", at positions 1008 to 1382 of the family's 1533-position model. Lineage: Bacteria; Bacillati; Chloroflexota; Anaerolineae; Anaerolineales; Anaerolineaceae. The record is from RNAcentral.